RNAcentral lists this ribosomal RNA (1479 nucleotides) under Triticum aestivum (bread wheat). RNAcentral's name for it is "partial small subunit ribosomal RNA". The record is from RNAcentral. Lineage: Eukaryota; Viridiplantae; Streptophyta; Magnoliopsida; Poales; Poaceae.
AUGGACGCGGCUGCGGUGAUCGGGUGUUUCAGGGACAGGAGCAUCCUCAUCACCGGCUCCACGGGCUUCCUCGGGAAAAUGCUGGUGGAGAAGAUCCUGAGGGUCCAGCCGGAUGUGAGGAAGCUUUACCUCCUUGUGCGCGCGCCAGACGCCGCGUCCGCCGAGCAUCGUGUGCUCACCGAGGUUGUAGCAACAAAACUUUUUGAUGUUCUGCGAACCAAGCAUGGAGCUGAUUUCAACUCUUUUAUCAAAAAUAAAAUUUACCCUCUACCUGGAGACAUCACUAAGGAAACCUGUGCACUCAGAAACUCUAUGGUUGAACAGAUCUCUAAGGAGAUCCAUGUCAUUGUGAGUGUAGCUGCAACUACCAGCUUCUACGAGAGAUAUGAUGUCGCUCUGGCAUCAAAUACCUUAGGAGUUGCCCACGUGUGUGAUUUAGCAAAGAAGUGUGCUAAUCUUAAAAUGUUCCUUCAUGUUUCCACUGCUUUCGUAGCCGGGGCGCAAGAAGGCCUGUUAGUGGAGAAGCCGUUCGAUGUAGGCAAAGCACUAAAGAAAGAUUAUGACCUGGACAUUCAAUCUGAGAAAAAAUUAGUUGAGAGUGUCAAGUCAAAACUCAGGAUACAAUUCUCUAACGACAAGAUAGAGAAGAGGAAAAUGAAGAAACUUGGAUUGAAAAGGGCUAGGCACUUUGGUUGGCCUAAUGUGUAUUCACUCACAAAGGCCAUGGGGGAGAUGUUGUUGGGAUCCUUAGGACAAGACCUGCCAGCUGUCAUAGUACGGCCAAGCAUCAUAUCUAGCACUUUCCAAGAACCAAUGCCCGGUUGGACGGAGGGAACUAGGACAAUGGAUAUGUUGUACGUUGCUUACAAUGACCAAAAACUUUCGUGUUUCAUCGCCGAUCGUAAUGUCAUAGUCGAUGUGAUACCAGGAGACAUGGUAAUUAAUGCACUGAUGGUCGCCAUGGCCAUUCAUUGGGACACACAUGGAAAACAGGCAAUUUACCAUGUAACCAUAGGUCAUCGGAACCCAUUGCUUUUUUCCACUUUUCUGGAAUCGGGCUAUGAGUAUUUCCGCUCUAAUCCUCGUGUAACCAAGGACGGGAGGAUUGUCAAGGAUAGAAGGGUGAAAGUUUUCAAGAAAUACACAUUUUUUCGUUUGUACAUGAUCCUGCGGUAUAACCUAGCACUGGAGACAUUGCAUGUGAUGAGUGUAUUUGGGCAUUCAGUGUCCCAACAUUACGAUAAGCUCAAGCGUGGCUACAAUUUCCUGAUACUUGUAGCAAAGUUGUACGCCCCAUAUGCAUUCUUCAAAGGGUGCUUUGAUGACACGAACAUGAGAAAUUUGUGGGCAAUAACCUCUACAGACCAGCUGAAGGAUGGCUCCACGUUUGAUUGUGAUCCUGCAUGCAUCGAUUGGGGCUCAUACCUGAUCAACACACACAUUCCGGCUGCUCUGACCUAUGCUCGCAAUAAUAAUUAG